AGUCGAACGAAGCAGGGGGGCGGAAUCUCUCCGGACGGGAAGCCCACCUGACUGAGUGGCGGACGGGUGAGUAACGCGUGGACAACCUACCCCGCACUGGGGGACAACAGCCGGAAACGGCUGCUAAUACCGCAUAUGCGCACGGCCCCGCAUGGGGCCGCGCGGAAAGCGCAUGCGGUGCGGGAUGGGUCCGCGUCUGAUUAGCUUGUUGGCGGGGUAACGGCCCACCAAGGCGACGAUCAGUAGCCGGCCUGAGAGGGUGGACGGCCACAUUGGGACUGAGACACGGCCCAGACUCCUACGGGAGGCAGCAGUGGGGGAUAUUGCACAAUGGGGGCAACCCUGAUGCAGCGACGCCGAAAAAACGAUGGAGUACUUCCCCCCCCCCCGCUCUGUCAGCAGGGAAGAGAAUGACGGUACCUGACCAAGAAGCCCCGGCUAAAUACGUGCCAGCAGCCGCGGUAAUACGUAUGGGGCAAGCGUUAUCCGGAUUUACUGGGUGUAAAGGGAGCGUAGGCGGCAGGGCAAGCCUGAUGUGAAAGCCCGGGGCUCAACCCCGGGACUGCAUUGCCAACUGCCCCGCUCGAGUGCCGGAGGGG
This 599-nucleotide ribosomal RNA is filed under the name uncultured bacterium. RNAcentral's name for it is "partial 16S ribosomal RNA". It matches the Rfam family "Bacterial small subunit ribosomal RNA", at positions 60 to 657 of the family's 1533-position model. The record is from RNAcentral.